This 1513-nucleotide ribosomal RNA is filed under the name Enterobacter roggenkampii. Its description in RNAcentral is "partial 23S ribosomal RNA". It matches the Rfam family "Bacterial large subunit ribosomal RNA", at positions 1 to 1551 of the family's 2925-position model. Lineage: Bacteria; Pseudomonadati; Pseudomonadota; Gammaproteobacteria; Enterobacterales; Enterobacteriaceae. The record is from RNAcentral.
GGGUUGUGAGGUUAAGCGACUAAGCGUACACGGUGGAUGCCCUGGCAGUCAGAGGCGAUGAAGGACGUGCUAAUCUGCGAAAAGCGCCGGCGAGGUGAUAUGAACCUUUGACCCGGCGAUGUCCGAAUGGGGAAACCCAGUGUGAUUCGUCACACUAUCGUUAACUGAAUACAUAGGUUAACGAGGCGAACCGGGGGAACUGAAACAUCUAAGUACCCCGAGGAAAAGAAAUCAACCGAGAUUCCCCCAGUAGCGGCGAGCGAACGGGGAGCAGCCCAGAGUCUGAAUCAGCUUGUGUGUUAGUGGAAGCGUCUGGAAAGUCGCACGGUACAGGGUGACAGUCCCGUACACGAAAGCACACAGGUUGUGAACUCGAAGAGUAGGGCGGGACACGUGGUAUCCUGUCUGAAUAUGGGGGGACCAUCCUCCAAGGCUAAAUACUCCUGACUGACCGAUAGUGAACCAGUACCGUGAGGGAAAGGCGAAAAGAACCCCGGCGAGGGGAGUGAAAAAGAACCUGAAACCGUGUACGUACAAGCAGUGGGAGCACCUUCGUGGUGUGACUGCGUACCUUUUGUAUAAUGGGUCAGCGACUUAUAUUCUGUAGCAAGGUUAACCGUAUAGGGGAGCCGAAGGGAAACCGAGUCUUAACUGGGCGUUAAGUUGCAGGGUAUAGACCCGAAACCCGGUGAUCUAGCCAUGGGCAGGUUGAAGGUUGGGUAACACUAACUGGAGGACCGAACCGACUAAUGUUGAAAAAUUAGCGGAUGACUUGUGGCUGGGGGUGAAAGGCCAAUCAAACCGGGAGAUAGCUGGUUCUCCCCGAAAGCUAUUUAGGUAGCGCCUCGUGAACUCAUCUUCGGGGGUAGAGCACUGUUUCGGCUAGGGGGCCAUCCCGGCUUACCAACCCGAUGCAAACUACGAAUACCGAAGAAUGUUAUCACGGGAGACACACGGCGGGUGCUAACGUCCGUCGUGAAGAGGGAAACAACCCAGACCGCCAGCUAAGGUCCCAAAGUCAUGGUUAAGUGGGAAACGAUGUGGGAAGGCACAGACAGCCAGGAUGUUGGCUUAGAAGCAGCCAUCAUUUAAAGAAAGCGUAAUAGCUCACUGGUCGAGUCGGCCUGCGCGGAAGAUGUAACGGGGCUAAACCAUGCACCGAAGCUGCGGCAGCGACACUAUGUGUUGUUGGGUAGGGGAGCGUUCUGUAAGCCGUUGAAGGUGUGCUGUGAGGCAUGCUGGAGGUAUCAGAAGUGCGAAUGCUGACAUAAGUAACGAUAAAGCGGGUGAAAAGCCCGCUCGCCGGAAGACCAAGGGUUCCUGUCCAACGUUAAUCGGGGCAGGGUGAGUCGACCCCUAAGGCGAGGCCGAAAGGCGUAGUCGAUGGGAAACAGGUUAAUAUUCCUGUACUUGGUGUUACUGCGAAGGGGGGACGGAGAAGGCUAUGUUAGCCGGGCGACGGUUGUCCCGGUUUAAGCAUGUAGGCGGAGGUUCCAGGUAAAUCCGGUACCUU